Molecule: ribosomal RNA, 748 nt
Filed under: uncultured delta proteobacterium
Lineage: Bacteria; Deltaproteobacteria
Description: bacterial SSU rRNA
Rfam family: Bacterial small subunit ribosomal RNA
Source: RNAcentral
ACCCCUGUGGGGGCCUAAAUACAGCCAAGUCGAACCGAGAAAAGUCCCCUUUCGGGGGCCGAAUUAAAGUGCGAACGGUGAGUAACGCGUAGAUAACAUACCUUCAGUUGGGGGAUACCAGUCGAAAGAUUGGAUAAUACCGCAUAUGACCACAGUAUCCUGUGGAUACAGGGGUAAAAGAUUUAUCGCCUAAAGAUUGGUCUGCGUCCGAUUAGCUUGUUGUGGGGUAAAAAGCCUACCAAGCUGUGAUCGGUAGCUGGUCUGAGAGGAUGAUCAGCCACAUUGGGACUGAGACACGGCCCAAACUCCUACGGGAGGCAGCAGUAGGGAAUCUUGCGCAAUGGGGGAAACCCUGACGCAGCGACACCACAUGAGUGAUGAAGGCUCUAGGGUUGUAAAGCUCUGUUCUUGACGAACAAACAAAUGAUUAGUCAAGGAGAAAGGACCGGCUAACUUCGUGCCAGCAGCUGCGGUAAGACGAGGGGUCCAAGCGUUGUCCGGAAUUAUUGGGCGUAAAGCGGGUGUAGGCGGUUUUGCAAGUCAGAAGUGAAAGCCUCAGGCUCAACCUGAGAAGUGCUUUUGAUACUGCAUAACUUGAGUUUGGAAGAGGGCAAUGGAAUUCCUGGUGUAGUGGUGAAAUGCGUAGAUAUCAGGAGGAAUACCAGAGGCGAAGGCGGUUGCCUGGUCCAAUACUGACGCUGAGAUCCGAAAGCGUGGGGAGCAAACAGGAUUAGAUACCCUGGUAGUC